Molecule: long non-coding RNA, 840 nt
Organism: Theobroma cacao (cacao)
Lineage: Eukaryota; Viridiplantae; Streptophyta; Magnoliopsida; Malvales; Malvaceae
Source: RefSeq, a predicted model, not a curated record
CAACCCCCUUGUGCCCAAUGAAGUUUGGCCCACAACUCCACUUGAAAUGAGCAAAAUUACGUACUAUGCGGAACUUUCUGCUUGGUCGGUCGACCCUUGUGAGUAUCGAACGGAAAAGCGCUCGAUACGAGCGAGAGUCCCAGUUGUCGUUUGUUCAACAAUCUCUUUGAAAAGCGUCCGACUGAAAGGUCUUCGCUUGCCUUGUUCUCUUGUUCAUGAACAUGACUUAGCAGGUAGAGCUGGUAAUAGAAAUGAACAUCAUGGAACAGUCUAAAAGUUGCCCAAUCAGGGAGGUGAAUGGUCUUGCGGUAGAGAUCAUUGCUGGAAGAAAACUUUGCGUGUGAACACAAGUCUCAAUAUCUGCUCACUCUGCUCCCAGAUUAUUCACUUCUCUGAUUUGGGCGAUUUUAAUUGUUUGUGCUGUUCCAUGUGGUUCAUUUCUUCUGCCAGCUCUGCUCGAAACUCCUUUUCCUUCUCAUGUUUGAAUCAGAGUUCAAAGCAAUGCAGGGACAAUAUAUCCCUUGUUUCUUCGACUUAAGAUUUGGAGGGGAACAGAUUUGUGAUGAGAGUCCGACGGCCAUGAUGGAAGGUGCCGUAGAUGUGGAGAAAUUUAUGUUAGGUCGAAUGUUUAUCUAAAGAUGACGAGUCAAGUUGGAGCGAGUCAUCAUGAUAAAGCUCGGGAAGCCAACUAGGUCUGGAAAUGCCACUCUUCUCAUUUCAAGUCUUUUCUUUUGCUUUGAAUAUUUGACUCAAUAGGUCAUUCAUAUGUAUUACUGCAUUAAACUUGCCUAAAGAUAUCGUAUAUUUACAAAACAACUCAACAAGAUAAUACUUUCGAGA